This 98-nucleotide ribosomal RNA is filed under the name uncultured bacterium. RNAcentral describes it as "partial 16S ribosomal RNA". It matches the Rfam family "Bacterial small subunit ribosomal RNA", at positions 392 to 508 of the family's 1533-position model. The record is from RNAcentral.
CAACGCCGCGUGGAGGAUGAAAUCCCUUGGGAUGUAAACUCCUUUCGAUAGGAAGAUAAUGACGGUACCUAUAGAAGAAGCCCCGGCUAACUUCGUGC